GGGUAUAGUUCAGUUGGUAGAACGUCGGUCUCCAAAACCGGAUGUCGAGGGUUCAAGUCCUUCUGCCC
This 68-nucleotide transfer RNA is filed under the name bovine gut metagenome. It matches the Rfam family "tRNA". From Rfam's summary of the family: Transfer RNA (tRNA) molecules are approximately 80 nucleotides in length. The record is from RNAcentral.